RNAcentral lists this ribosomal RNA (253 nucleotides) under uncultured bacterium. RNAcentral describes it as "partial 16S ribosomal RNA". It matches the Rfam family "Bacterial small subunit ribosomal RNA", at positions 524 to 776 of the family's 1533-position model. The record is from RNAcentral.
UACAGAGGGUGCAAGCGUUGUUCGGAAUUAUUGGGCGUAAAGGGAGUGUAGGCGGUUAUUUAAGUCUUCUGUGAAAGCUGCAGGCUCAGCCUGCAAAGUGCAGAGGAAACUGGAUGACUUGAGUGUCGGAGAGGAUAGGGGAAUACCCAGUGUAGAGGUGAAAUUCGUAGAGAUUGGGUGGAACACCAGUGGCGAAGGCGCCUGUCUGGCUGACAACUGACGCUGAGACUCGAAAGCAUGGGGAGCAAACAGG